This 1451-nucleotide ribosomal RNA is filed under the name uncultured bacterium. RNAcentral's name for it is "bacterial SSU rRNA". It matches the Rfam family "Bacterial small subunit ribosomal RNA". The record is from RNAcentral.
GAUGAACGCUAGCUACAGGCUUAACACAUGCAAGUCGAGGGGCAUCAGGAAGAAAGCUUACUUUCUUUGCUGGCGACCGGCGCACGGGUGAGUAACACGUAUCCAACCUGCCCUUUACUCGGGGAUAGCCUUUCGAAAGAAAGAUUAAUACCCGAUAGCAUAAUGAUUCCGCAUGGUUUCAUUAUUAAAGGAUUCCGGUAAAGGAUGGGGAUGCGUUCCAUUAGGUUGUUGGUGAGGUAACGGCCCACCAAGCCUUCGAUGGAUAGGGGUUCUGAGAGGAAGGUCCCCCACAUUGGAACUGAGACACGGUCCAAACUCCUACGGGAGGCAGCAGUGAGGAAUAUUGGUCAAUGGGCGCUAGCCUGAACCAGCCAAGUAGCGUGAAGGGUGAAGGCUCUAUGGGUCGUAAACUUCUUUUAUAUAAGAAUAAAGUGCAGUAUGUAUACUGUUUUGUAUGUAUUAUAUGAAUAAGGAUCGGCUAACUCCGUGCCAGCAGCCGCGGUAAUACGGAGGAUCCGAGCGUUAUCCGGAUUUAUUGGGUUUAAAGGGAGCGUAGGUGGACUGGUAAGUCAGUUGUGAAAGUUUGCGGCUCAACCGUAAAAUUGCAGUUGAUACUGUCAGUCUUGAGUACAGUAGAGGUGGGCGGAAUUCGUGGUGUAGCGGUGAAAUGCUUAGAUAUCACGAAGAACUCCGAUUGCGAAGGCAGCUCACUGGACUGCAACUGACACUGAUGCUCGAAAGUGUGGGUAUCAAACAGGAUUAGAUACCCUGGUAGUCCACACAGUAAACGAUGAAUACUCGCUGUUUGCGAUAUACAGUAAGCGGCCAAGCGAAAGCAUUAAGUAUUCCACCUGGGGAGUACGCCGGCAACGGUGAAACUCAAAGGAAUUGACGGGGGCCCGCACAAGCGGAGGAACAUGUGGUUUAAUUCGAUGAUACGCGAGGAACCUUACCCGGGCUUAAAUUGCAGUGGAAUGAUGUGGAAACAUGUCAGUGAGCAAUCACCGCUGUGAAGGUGCUGCAUGGUUGUCGUCAGCUCGUGCCGUGAGGUGUCGGCUUAAGUGCCAUAACGAGCGCAACCCUUAUCUUUAGUUACUAACAGGUUAUGCUGAGGACUCUAGAGAGACUGCCGUCGUAAGAUGUGAGGAAGGUGGGGAUGACGUCAAAUCAGCACGGCCCUUACGUCCGGGGCUACACACGUGUUACAAUGGGGGGUACAGAAGGCAGCUAGCGGGUGACCGUAUGCUAAUCCCAAAAGCCUCUCUCAGUUCGGAUCGAAGUCUGCAACCCGACUUCGUGAAGCUGGAUUCGCUAGUAAUCGCGCAUCAGCCACGGCGCGGUGAAUACGUUCCCGGGCCUUGUACACACCGCCCGUCAAGCCAUGGGAGCCGGGGGUACCUGAAGUACGUAACCGCAAGGAUCGUCCUAGGGUAAAACCGGUGACUGGGGCU